AACGCUGGCGGCAGGCCUCAAACAUGCAAGUCUAGGGGUGUAGCAAUACACACCGGCGGACGGGUGCGUAACGCGUGGGAACAUACCUUUCGGUACGGAACAACUGCGGGAAACUGCAGCUAAUACCGUAUACGCCCUUACGGGGAAAGAUUUAUCGCCGAAGGAUUGGCCCGCGUUCGAUUAGCUAGUUGGUGAGGUAACGGCCCACCAAGGCUACGAUCGAUAGCUGUUCUGAGAGGAAGAUCAGCCACACUGGGACUGAGACACGGCCCAGACUCC
RNAcentral lists this ribosomal RNA (279 nucleotides) under uncultured bacterium. RNAcentral's name for it is "partial 16S ribosomal RNA". It matches the Rfam family "Bacterial small subunit ribosomal RNA", at positions 32 to 339 of the family's 1533-position model. The record is from RNAcentral.